GUUCUCUCUUUGUUAGUACAUACACUAAAAUUGGAACAAUAUAGAAAAAAUUAGCACAGCUCCUGCCCCAAGGAUGACACUUAAAUUUGUGAAGCAAUUCAUAUCUUU
Molecule: small nuclear RNA, 108 nt
Filed under: Notamacropus eugenii (tammar wallaby)
Lineage: Eukaryota; Metazoa; Chordata; Mammalia; Diprotodontia; Macropodidae
Source: RNAcentral